CGUCUAUAUACGUAUAGCAUAUCAAUAAGCGGAGGAAAAGAAACUAACAAGGAUUCCCUAGUAACGGCGAGUGAAGCGGGAAGAGCUCAAAUUUGAAAUCUUCAAGGUUUUACCUUGACGAAUUGUAGUUUAAAGAAGUGUUUUCUGUUAGAGAGUUUGGUAAAAGUUCUUUGGAAUAGGACAUCAUAGAGGGUGAGAAUCCCGUAUUUGACCAUUAUUUCCAGCUUUGUGAUACACUUUCAAAGAGUCGGAUUGUUUGGGAAUGCAGUCCAAAAUGGGUGGUAAAUUUCAUCUAAAGCUAAAUACUGGCGAGAGACCGAUAGCGAACAAGUACCGUGAGGGAAAGAUGAAAAGAACUUUGAAAAGAGAGUUAAACAGUACGUGAAAUUGUCAAAAGGGAAGCGUUUGACACCAGUGUUGUUUAGUUGAAAAUCAAUUCAAUAGUUUUUGAUUCUAAGUAGUAUUGACUUCAUCAGCUUGCUGCUUUCUUCUCAGAAAUUAUUGAAUGCACUUUUCAGUUAACAAGUCAACAUCAAUUUCUUUUGUUGUAAAAGGGUAAGAGGAAGGUGGCUUGCGCUUCGGCUCAAGUGUUUAUAGCCUUUUAUCUCUGCAAUCGGAGAGAUUGAGGUCUGCAGCGUAGAUCCUUCGGGGUUAGAUACAUUGGUGCUAAGCUAUAGCCUUGUAUAGACAACUUGUUGACUAUGUUCAGUCAUGUAGCUUACUCGCUGAUGCUAUUUUACCUACGCUUAGGAUGUUGACACACGCGCGUGCUCG
Molecule: ribosomal RNA, 774 nt
Filed under: uncultured Neocallimastigales
Lineage: Eukaryota; Fungi; Neocallimastigomycota; Neocallimastigomycetes; Neocallimastigales
Description: partial large subunit ribosomal RNA
Rfam family: Eukaryotic large subunit ribosomal RNA
Source: RNAcentral